RNAcentral lists this ribosomal RNA (875 nucleotides) under uncultured Gammaproteobacteria bacterium. RNAcentral's name for it is "bacterial SSU rRNA". It matches the Rfam family "Bacterial small subunit ribosomal RNA", at positions 28 to 896 of the family's 1533-position model. The record is from RNAcentral. Lineage: Bacteria; Pseudomonadati; Pseudomonadota; Gammaproteobacteria.
AUUGAACGCUGGCGGCAGGCCUAACACAUGCAAGUCGAACGGCAGCACGGGAGCAAUCCUGGUGGCGAGUGGCGAACGGGUGAGUAAUAUAUCGGAACGUGCCCAGUCGUGGGGGAUAACGCAGCGAAAGCUGUGCUAAUACCGCAUACGAUCUCUGGAUGAAAGCGGGGGACUCGCAAGGGCCUCGCGCGAUUGGAGCGGCCGAUAUCAGAUUAGCUAGUUGGUGGGGUAAAGGCCCACCAAGGCGACGAUCUGUAGCUGGUCUGAGAGGACGACCAGCCACACUGGAACUGAGACACGGUCCAGACUCCUACGGGAGGCAGCAGUGGGGAAUAUUGGACAAUGGGCGAAAGCCUGAUCCAGCCAUGCCGCGUGUGUGAAGAAGGUCUUCGGAUUGUAAAGCACUUUAAGUUGGGAGGAAGGGCAGUAAAUUAAUACUUUGCUGUUUUGACGUUACCGACAGAAUAAGCACCGGCUAACUCUGUGCCAGCAGCCGCGGUAAUACAGAGGGUGCAAGCGUUAAUCGGAAUUACUGGGCGUAAAGCGCACGUAGGCGGCUAUUCAAGUCAGAGGUGAAAGCCCGGGGCUCAACCCCGGAACUGCCUUUGAAACUAGGUAGCUAGAAUUCUGGAGAGGUCAGUGGAAUUCCGAGUGUAGAGGUGAAAUUCGUAGAUAUUCGGAAGAACACCAGUGGCGAAGGCGACUGACUGGACAGAUAUUGACGCUGAGGUGCGAAAGCGUGGGGAGCAAACAGGAUUAGAUACCCUGGUAGUCCACGCCGUAAACGAUGAUAACUAGCUGUCCGGGCACUUGGUGUCUGGGUGGCGCAGCUAACGCAUUAAGUUAUCCGCCUGGGGAGUACGGUCGCAAGAUUA